RNAcentral lists this ribosomal RNA (496 nucleotides) under uncultured bacterium. RNAcentral's name for it is "partial 16S ribosomal RNA". It matches the Rfam family "Bacterial small subunit ribosomal RNA", at positions 28 to 506 of the family's 1533-position model. The record is from RNAcentral.
GAUGAACGCUGGCGGCGUGCCUAAUACAUGCAAGUCGAGCGAAAGGACGAGCAGCUUGCUUCUCUGAUGUUAGAGGCGGACGGGUGAGUAACACGUGGCUCACCUACCUAUUAGACUGGGAUAACUUAGGGAACCCGGAGCUAAUACCGGAUAAUCUUUUGAACCGCAUGGUUCAAAAGUGAAAGACGGUCUUGCUGUCACUUAUAGAUGGAUCCGCGCUGCAGUAGCUAGUUGGUAAGGUAACGGCAUCCUAAGGCAACGAUGCAUAGCCGACCUGAGAUGGGGAGCGGCCACGCUGGAACGGGGCCACGGUACAGACCACUACGGGACGCAGCAGUAGAGUAUCGUCCGCAAUGGGCGAAAGCCUGACGGGGCAAAGCCGCGUGAGUGAUGAAGUGCUGCGGAUCGUAAAGCUCUGUUAUUAGGGAAGAACAUAUGUGUAAGUAACUGUGCACAUCUGGACGGGACCUAAGCAGAAAGCCCCGGCGAACUACGU